GAGCUGCGGCGGUCCUGCCAGGUGUGGAGUGCAAUCAGUGAAUCUUUCCAGGUGACCACGCCUCCACGCACCAAACGAGCCCCAGUAUGGAGCAAUGGCGAGUUGCUGGACCUCAUCAGUGUUUGGGGGGAGGAAGCUAUGCAGUCCCAGCUGCG
Molecule: non-coding RNA, 155 nt
Organism: Chelonoidis abingdonii (Abingdon island giant tortoise)
Lineage: Eukaryota; Metazoa; Chordata; Testudines; Testudinidae
Source: RefSeq, a predicted model, not a curated record